RNAcentral lists this ribosomal RNA (450 nucleotides) under uncultured Microbacterium sp. RNAcentral's name for it is "bacterial SSU rRNA". It matches the Rfam family "Bacterial small subunit ribosomal RNA", at positions 930 to 1382 of the family's 1533-position model. Lineage: Bacteria; Bacillati; Actinomycetota; Actinomycetes; Micrococcales; Microbacteriaceae. The record is from RNAcentral.
CGGCGGAGCAUGCGGAUUAAUUCGAUGCAACGCGAAGAACCUUACCAAGGCUUGACAUAUAGAGGAAACGUCUGGAAACAGUCGCCCCGCAAGGUCUCUAUACAGGUGGUGCAUGGUUGUCGUCAGCUCGUGUCGUGAGAUGUUGGGUUAAGUCCCGCAACGAGCGCAACCUCGUUCUAUGUUGCCAGCACGUAAUGGUGGGAGCUCAUGGGAUACUGCCGGGGUCAACUCGGAGGAAGGUGGGGAUGACGUCAAAUCAUCAUGCCCCUUAUGUCUUGGGCUUCACGCAUGCUACAAUGGCCGGUACAAAGGGCUGCAAUACCGUAAGGUGGAGCGAAUCCCAAAAAGCCGGUCCCAGUUCGGAUUGAGGUCUGCAACUCGACCUCAUGAAGUCGGAGUCGCUAGUAAUCGCAGAUCAGCAACGCUGCGGUGAAUACGUUCCCGGGUCUU